CUGGGAACGAGUCUGUUAAAUUUGGCCCUCCAACAACAGCACCAAUUAAUCGAUUUGGGUUUGGGUUUGGUGAAAAAAAGUAUCGAGAUCCCUCUUUGCAACCAAUACGUGCUGAAUGUGUGGCCACAGAUGGCACAGAGCUACCCCUAUGGUGAAUCCUUUGUGGGUAAUGUGGACCAUACCCUACCAUAUAUGACAUUCUUUGAGGAUUAUCUCCCAGAAUAUAAUCCACCUGACGUUUGGCAAUGUGUUUGAG
This 256-nucleotide unclassified non-coding RNA is filed under the name Hevea brasiliensis (rubber tree). Lineage: Eukaryota; Viridiplantae; Streptophyta; Magnoliopsida; Malpighiales; Euphorbiaceae. The record is from RNAcentral.